AGGAUGAACGCUAGCUACAGGCUUAACUCAUGCAAGUCGAGGGGCAGCAUUUUAGUUUGCUUGCAAACUGAAGAUGGCGACCGGCGCACGGGUGAGUAACACGUAUCCAACCUGCCGAUAACUCCGGAAUAGCCUUUCGAAAGAAAGAUUAAUACCGGAUAGCAUACGAAUAUCGCAUGAUAUUUUUAUUAAAGAAUUUCGGUUAUCGAUGGGGAUGCGUUCCAUUAGUUUGUUGGCGGGGUAACGGCCCACCAAGACUACGAUGGAUAGGGGUUCUGAGAGGAAGGUCCCCCACAUUGGAACUGAGACACGGUCCAAACUCCUACGGGAGGCAGCAGUGAGGAAUAUUGGUCAAUGGGCGAGAGCCUGAACCAGCCAAGUAGCGUGAAGGAUGAAGGCUCUAUGGGUCGUAAACUUCUUUUAUAUGGGAAUAAAGUUUUCCACGUGUGGAAUUUUGUAUGUACCAUAUGAAUAAGGAUCGGCUAACUCCGUGCCAGCAGCCGCGGUAAUACGGAGGAUCCGAGCGUUAUCCGGAUUUAUUGGGUUUAAAGGGAGCGUAGGUGGAUUGUUAAGUCAGUUGUGAAAAUUUGCGGCUCAACCGUAAAAUUGCAGUUGAAACUGGCAGUCUUGAGUACAGUAGAGGUGGGCGGAAUUCGUGGUGUAGCGGUGAAAUGCUUAGAUAUCACGAAGAACUCCGAUUGCGAAGGCAGCUCACUAGACUGUCACUGACACUGAUGCUCGAAAGUGUGGGUAUCAAACAGGAUUAGAUACCCUGGUAGUCCACACAGUAAACGAUGAAUACUCGCUGUUUGCGAUAUACAGUAAGCGGCCAAGCGAAAGCAUUAAGUAUUCCACCUGGGGAGUACGCCGGCAACGGUGAAACUCAAAGGAAUUGACGGGGGCCCGCACAAGCGGAGGAACAUGUGGUUUAAUUCGAUGAUACGCGAGGAACCUUACCCGGGCUUAAAUUGCAACAGAAUAUAUUGGAAACAGUAUAGCCGUAAGGCUGUUGUGAAGGUGCUGCAUGGUUGUCGUCAGCUCGUGCCGUGAGGUGUCGGCUUAAGUGCCAUAACGAGCGCAACCCUUAUCUUUAGUUACUAACAGGUUAUGCUGAGGACUCUAGAGAGACUGCCGUCGUAAGAUGUGAGGAAGGUGGGGAUGACGUCAAAUCAGCACGGCCCUUACGUCCGGGGCUACACACGUGUUACAAUGGGGGGUACAGAAGGCGGCUACCUGGUGACAGGAUGCUAAUCCCAAAAACCUCUCUCAGUUCGGAUCGAAGUCUGCAACCCGACUUCGUGAAGCUGGAUUCGCUAGUAAUCGCGCAUCAGCCAUGGCGCGGUGAAUACGUUCCCGGGCCUUGUACACACCGCCCGUCAAGCCAUGAAAGCCGGGGGUACCAGAAGUACGUAACCGCAAGGAGCGUCCUAGGGU
RNAcentral lists this ribosomal RNA (1434 nucleotides) under uncultured organism. RNAcentral describes it as "16S ribosomal RNA". It matches the Rfam family "Bacterial small subunit ribosomal RNA". The record is from RNAcentral.